Malaclemys terrapin pileata is the source of this 1153-nucleotide long non-coding RNA. RefSeq lists it as uncharacterized. The record is from RefSeq and is a predicted model, not a curated record. The transcript has 3 exons. NCBI's taxonomy places the organism in Eukaryota, Metazoa, Chordata, Testudines, Emydidae.
ACCUGAUUGAAUGUGACAGCACCAAGAGAAAGUCAGACUAAUAUAGCAAUGAGAGGAGAGAAAUCCCCUCCCUGACUCCACCUUCUCUAGAUUGUAAACUAAAUGAUUUACUUGGUUUGAAGUGUUUUACUUGAUUUGAAUCAUUCUGCCCUGUAGUGAGUCCUUAUUGGAAACAACUGGGAGGUGGGCGGGCCUGCCCUGCGCCUCCUAUCCGGAGGAGCUCCCGGACUUGCCAAAGGAUCCCUGGCCGGAUGAAGUCAUGGUCCAGGAUCCCCCCGAGGCCGACACCAGCCCCCAGUUCAAAGUCAAAUCAAUUCAAGCAUUCUCUCCUCCGCACAACAAGGAAGUAUUUGAAGCUCCAUUCAUCCUUGUUAUGAGAUUUCUUGCAAAUAAAAAACCUUGACAAAACAAAAACACAGGCUCCCAAGAGCCUCCAUCAUGCCAGAAACUAGGAAGUGGAAAUCUACAGAACAGCCAGGAUCUAAAAGUUUGACAACAUGCGGCAUAAUGCCAUUUGGUCACUUUUUCAGCUAUUGCAGGAGCUGAUGUUGGGAACAUACACAAGUGAAGAGUGUUUCUCUCAUGAAACUGGUUAAAAACAUGUUUGCCGAAAAGAUAAGAAUCCCUGCACAGCAGUCCGAAGAUAAAAAACAAACCGACAUGCCCAUCCUCCCCGCUCCAGUCCUCCACGUGGUAUUGAUUUAAGCCAGCACUGCAGAACUCUUCAGUUCAAAAGCUAUCUGCAAACAUUCACAGGCAACAAAACGAGGAAAAGCUGAUCAGGAAAGGCUUUAAAACAUGUAAACAGUUUCAAUGAAACUGUGUGUAUGUGUGAUCUUGAGAAGGAAUUUGCCUCUCCAGUUUGUACCCCAUGACGAUGAACUACAGAAGCACAUACAGGGCCUGCUGCCCUGAAGUCUGUUUCCAUUAUAAAAUCUCUCUUGCAAGGGGGAUAGAGCAUUCAGCGGCACAAUUCCAAGCUGAAAUUCUGCAGCAUUUUUCCAGCUGAUUUUUCUCUCCAAAUGUUCACCCAACUGGCGUGAAAGUUCUGUAACCAUAUGGGAACCAAUCCUGUCUGUGUUCUGGGCACAUCCAUGACCCACCGUGGGAGCGAGUUACCAGUGACCCAGGGCUGGGACAGCAGAAGGGUCCA